CUCAACGACAUGGAGAUAAUGGACCCAAAUGCAGAUGCUAUGAUGGACAAUGAUGUUCAACACGAUGAUUUUUCGGGGGAAGAUCUCAUGGACGUGAAACUGCAAAAGGAUGAUGUAAAAGGACGUCCCUCUUCAAGUGCAACCGUCACACAAAAAAGCUUAAAGGGAUGAGAAGUGGUGCAAAAUUGAAUAUCCCUUUGGGCAUUCAAAGCAAAAAGAUAGGUUUCCUUCGUCGAGGAUCUCCACGCAAUCUCUCGGUCAUGCCUUUUGGACGCUCUCAUACAAU
This 286-nucleotide long non-coding RNA is filed under the name Brassica napus (rape). RNAcentral describes it as "long non-coding RNA (BNAP_LNC011943)". Lineage: Eukaryota; Viridiplantae; Streptophyta; Magnoliopsida; Brassicales; Brassicaceae. The record is from RNAcentral.